UAUUAUCGUCAUCACAACAUAGAUUACGAAUCGUGUCAGGUCAGAAAUGAAGCAGCACUAAGAUAAAAUUUGUGUGUGUGGUGACUUUUUAUUUUAA
RNAcentral lists this signal recognition particle RNA (97 nucleotides) under Mycoplasmataceae bacterium. RNAcentral describes it as "signal recognition particle sRNA small type". It matches the Rfam family "Bacterial small signal recognition particle RNA". Rfam says of the family: The signal recognition particle (SRP) is a universally conserved ribonucleoprotein involved in the co-translational targeting of proteins to membranes. The record is from RNAcentral. Lineage: Bacteria; Bacillati; Mycoplasmatota; Mollicutes; Mycoplasmatales; Mycoplasmataceae.